Chiroxiphia lanceolata (lance-tailed manakin) is the source of this 320-nucleotide long non-coding RNA. RefSeq lists it as uncharacterized. The transcript has 3 exons. Lineage: Eukaryota; Metazoa; Chordata; Aves; Passeriformes; Pipridae. The record is from RefSeq and is a predicted model, not a curated record.
GAUACGAGUAUUGUGUUGACACAGUCUCACAUCAAGGCAUAUAUGCUGAUGACACUUCAAGGAUUAGAAUAUCUGCAUCAUCACUGGAUUUUGCACAGGGAUCUUAAACCAAAUAACUUGCUGUUAGAUGAAAAUGGGGUUUUAAAAUUAGCUGACUUUGGCUUGGCAAAAUCUUUUGGAAGCCCAAAUAAAGUUUAUACACACCAGGUAGUAACAAGAUGGUACCGAGCCCCAGAACUAUUGUUUGGAGCUAGAAUGUAUGGUGUUGGUGUUGAUAUGUGGGCUGUUGGUUGUAUUUUAGCUGAAUUGCUCCUCAGGAU